GUAAAGCCAGCUCUCCAUACAACCCAGCAGAAUGGUUUCAGCUUUGAUGUUUGCUUGUGAAUCUUAAGGAAGAACCUCAAGCUCUUUGUCUUCAAACUUCUGGUUUCACUGGAGCAAGAGAAGAGAUCAGAAGAGAAAUUCCAUAUUCCUCCAGCAGUGUCUCCCACCUUCUUAGAGGCUACUGUGUGUCUUCACUAGAGGAAAGUCUGCAUCUGAAGACCAGGGGCUUUGUACUAUGGACACCUCAUCAACCAGUGUGACGUGAAAGCUGGAGACCAAGAGAAGGGAAAACCUUUAUCCAAUUAAUGUACACUUCCCUUAAGGUAAGACGCUUCCCUUCCCUGCCUUGUAAAGCCUAUAUUGUG
This is a long non-coding RNA of Odocoileus virginianus texanus, 365 nucleotides long. RefSeq lists it as uncharacterized. NCBI's taxonomy places the organism in Eukaryota, Metazoa, Chordata, Mammalia, Artiodactyla, Cervidae. The record is from RefSeq and is a predicted model, not a curated record.